Molecule: RNA transcript, 3444 nt
Organism: Nycticebus coucang (slow loris)
Lineage: Eukaryota; Metazoa; Chordata; Mammalia; Primates; Lorisidae
Gene name: DNA excision repair protein ERCC-5-like
Exons: 2
Source: RefSeq, a predicted model, not a curated record
AGCAUUUGGUUAAACCAAGCACUUAAAGGAGUCUGGGACCACCAUGGGAAUACAAUAGAAAAUGCUCAUCUUCUCACUUUGUUUCAUCAGCUCUGCAAACUCUUAUUUUUUUGAAUUUGUCCUAUUUUUGUGUUUGAUGGGGAUGCUCCACUAUUGAAGAAACAGACUUUGGCUAAGAGAAGGCUGAGAAAGGAUUCUGCAUCCAGUGACUCCUGAAAAACUACAGAGAAGCUUUUGAAAACAUUUUUGAAAAGACAAGCUAUCAAAACUGCCUUCCGAAGCAAAAGAGAUGAAGCACUGCCCAGUCUCACGCAGGUUCUCACGCAGAUGAUAUCUACGCUUUGCCUCCUUUACAAGAGGAAGAAAAACACAGUUCAGAAGAGGAAGAUGAAAAAGAAUGGCAAGAAAGAAUGAAUCAAAAACAAGCAUUACGGGAAGAGUUCUUCAUAAUCCUCAAGCAAUAGAUAUUGAGUCUGAGCAGCCUGCCCCCUGAAAUAAAGCAUGAUAUCUUAUCUGAUAUGAAAGAAUUUACCAAGAGAAGAAGAACGUUAUUUGAAGCAAUGCCAGAGGAGUCCAGUGACUUUUCACAAUACCAACUCAAAGGCUUGCUUAAAAAAAACUAUCUAAACCUUUUGGUUAUUUUCCACUUUCCACUUAUUUUAAACCAGCACAUAGAACAGGUCCAAAAGGAAAUGAAUCAGCAACAUUCAGGACAAAUCCAAAGGCAAUAUGAAGAUGAAGGGGGCUUUUUGAAGGAGGUAGAGUCAAGGAGAGUGGUCUCUGAAGACACUUCACAUUACAUCUUGAUAAAAGGUAUUCAAGCUAAGAAAGUUGCAGAAAUGGAUUCAGAAUCUCUUUCUUCUUCCAGCAAAAUGCACAGCAUGUCUUUAAUUAAGUCACCUGCAUGUGAAAAAGUGAAGGCAGAGGAAGAGGCUGGUGCCACCCCUCCUUCUCCUAGAACUUUGCUGGCUAUGCAAACUGCUGUGCUGGGGAAGAGCUCAGAAGAGGAGAGUGAGGAGGGAGCAUGGGGGCAGGAGUGCAGGUGCGUCCUCAAGGACUCUGCGCCAGAGAGCUCUCGAUGAUGAUGAAGAUGUGAAGGUGCCUGCAGAGGACACCAUGCAGUCAGGAGGGCCAGGAGCCACCAGACUGCUCUGGACAGUUCCACUGAGGGCAAGGAUGGACUUACAGUGAGCAAUGGAAAAGGAGUGCUGUUUACUCCCGUGCUGGCUUCUGCCAGUGUGAAUUCUGCGGAGGAGUGUGCCGCCAGCACUCCUGAUGAGAGAGGGCUGACAGACUCGGCUCCCAAGGAACAAACAUCGUUUAUUCAUGUGGCAGAUGAAGCCUUUCAGAUAGACAAUGAAUCUGUCAUUAAAGAUGCAAAAGACCCACUUUCCUCAGAAAGUACGGUGGAGGGAUGUGCCUGGGCUGGCAGGUGGAAGGGGCAUGACACAGGCACUGGCAACAAGUGCAAGUUCUGUGUCCAGGGAUGAAACAUGUACCACAGUGCUUGAGCCACAGGAACACGUUUGCCGGCCUGAGAGUAAAUAUGCUUCCUCUGCUCUUUCAAGUGAUGAUGAAACAGAAUGUGAACAAAAUCCUGCUUCUGAAGUCAUCGGUACUGUCAGUUUGCAAGAAAUGAGUAAGAUGGUAGGUGUCCCUUCAGAGGCAGUAGGUGACUUAGAAAAUGUGGUAUCAUCUAAUGCUAAAGAGCACAAGAAUUUCCUAAACACCAUCCAAGAACAGGAGAUGAUUGAGUCUGCAGGCCAGGAUUUAAUUUUGGUUCCAAAGUCCAUAGAACCAAUGGACAUCAACUCCGAAGAAAGUGAAUCUGAUGGGAGUUUCAUUGAAGUGCAAAGUGUGGUUAGUGAUGAUGAACUUCAAGCUGAAUUGCAUGAAGCUUCCAGAUCUCCCUCUGAACAAGAUGAAGAGGAACAGAUAGGAAUUAGGGAGGAAGAAGCCACUGCUGACACCAGGAGCCUCCCACAGGACAACUCUGAAAGCCAGGACUUAGAUGUUGAGGCAUGGGAAGAAGCUGAAAAAGAUGCAGAUGAUUCGUUCAACGAAUGGCAAGAUAUUAAUUUGGAGGAGCUGGAAACUCUGGAGAACAACCUUUUAGCAGAACAGAAUUCCCUAAAAGCUCAACAACAGCAGCAAGAACGGGUUGCUACUACUGUAACCAUGAAGAUGUGCCUGGAAAGCCAGGAGCUCCUGUGGCUCUUCGGUAUUCCCUACAUCCAGGCUCCUAUGGAGGCAGUGGCGCAGUGCGCCAUCCUAGACCUGACCGACCAGACUUGUGGAACGAUCACUGAUGACAGUGAUAUCUGGCUGCUUGGAGUACGGCAUGUGUAUAAAAACUUCUUUAAUAAAAACAAGUUUGUAGGAUAUUACCAAUAUGUGGACUUUCACAACCAAUUAUGAUUGGACUGGAACAAAUUAAUAAACUUGGCCUAUUUGCUUGGAAGUGACUAUACUGAGGGAAUACCAACCGUAGGUUGUUUAACAGCCAUGGAAAUCCUCAAUGAAUUCCCUAGACAUGGCCUGGAACCUCUCCUAAAAUUCUCAGAGUGGUGGAAUGAAGCCCAAAAAAAUACGAAGAUAAGACCUAAUCCCCAUGACACCAAAGUGAAAAAAAAAUUACGGAAGUUGCAGCUCACACCUGGUUUUCCUAACCCAGCUGUUGCAGAUGCUUACCUCAAACCCGUGGUGGAUGACUCCAAGGGAUCGUUUCUGUGGGAGAAACCCGACCUUGACAAAAUUAGAGAGUUUUGUCAGCGAUAUUUUGGCUGGAACAGGAUGAAGACAGAUGAAUGUCUGUUUCCAGUAUUAAAGCAGCUCAGUGCUCAGCAGACACAGCUCCAAAUUGAUUCUUUCUUUAGAGUGGCUCAACAGGAGAAACAAGAUGCUAAUAAACGUAUUAAGAGCCAGAGACUAAACAGAGCUGUGACGUGUAUGCUAAGGAAAGAGAGAGAAGAAGCAACCAGUGAAAUAGAAGCAGUUUCUGUUGCUAUGGAGAAAGAAUUUGAGCUACUUGAUAAGGCAAAAGGAAAAACCCAGAAGAAAAGCAUAGCAAAUAAAUUGAAAGAGUCAUCAAGCCUGAAAAGAAAGAGGUUUUCAGAUUCCAAACGAGAGAAUAAGUGUGGUGGAUUUUUGGGGGAGGCCUACCUCUCAGAACCCUCUGAUGCAUCUUCAAGUGAGGAUGCUGAAGGUUUAUCCUUAAUGAAUAUUCAAAGGAGAAAAGCAGAAAAAGAGUCAAAAAUCAGCUCUCCAGAUUUGUAAGAGCUCUCCAUGCAAAAGACUCAUGUAAAUGAUGGAGGUGUGACUACGGGCAGCUCUAGUGACGAUGAUGGAAAGAAAGCAAAGACCGUCCUCGUGAUGGCCAGAUCUGUGUUUGGGAAGGGAAGAGGGAAACUGAGAAGUGCAAGGGGAAGGAAAAGAAAAACCUAA